GAUGAAGAACGUAGCGAAAUGCGAUAAGUAAUGUGAAUUGCAGAAUUCAGUGAAUCAUCGAAUCUUUGAACGCACAUUGCGCCCGCCAGUAUUCUGGCGGGCAUGCCUGUCCGAGCGUCAUUUCAACCCUCGAACCCCUCCGGGGGGUCGGCGUUGGGGACCUCGGGAGCCCCUAAGACGGGAUCCCGGCCCCGAUAUACAGUGGCGGUCUCGCCGCAGCCUCUCCUGCGCAGUAGUUUGCACAACUCGCACCGGGAGCGCGGCGCGUCCACGUCCGUAAAACACCCAACUUCUGAAAUGUUGACCUCGGAUCAGGUAGGAAUACCCGCUGAACUUAAGCAUAUCAAUAAGCGGAGGA
This 358-nucleotide unclassified non-coding RNA is filed under the name soil metagenome. RNAcentral describes it as "partial contains 5.8S ribosomal RNA, internal transcribed spacer 2, and large subunit ribosomal RNA". The stretch from base 1 to 120 matches the Rfam family "5.8S ribosomal RNA", at positions 35 to 154 of the family's 154-position model. The record is from RNAcentral.